AAUUUUUAGUCCACAUAGUGGAAAGCCUCUGUACACCCCUUUCCUUCCUGCCAGACAAGCUGGGACAGCAGUGCUGGGAGUUUCUCUGAUGUCUGAUAACACCUCAGUGCACGUCUGAGGUGCCUUUCAGCUCGGGCUGCCUCAGCUGUCACCCACACACUGCUCUGCAGGGAGAUAACUCCUGCAUGCUCCUGUUUGUCCCCCCUCUGCUGCUGUAAGUCACACUUCAGGCUUGCAUUGAUUCUCCAACAUAUUGAGGAGACCAGGGGCAGGGGUGCAGCAGAGCAAGCUGCCUCCAGUUACACAGCCAUGAAGUGACACCUGCCAGCCUCUCACGCAGCAUCUGAUCACCAAUUAAAGGGAUGAUUUAUGGGCUGAGGAGAGGAUGCCCUUCCUGUCUCGAAGGCUGUUUGGGGAAGUCACCAAUUCGCAGGCAGCAAGGAGAACCUGGGUUCUCUUGGCAAACUCAGCUUUGGCUGCAGACUUCGCUCAUCAGCUCAUUAGUGACAAGUGUGGGCUGGAUCAGCAUCCACUGCUCAUCUCUAAGAUGUGCAGCAGAAACCUUUGGUGUGUAAACAGCCUGGCAAGAAAUCAGCAAGAGAAUGGGUUGGGAAGAGGAGGAAAAUUACUUCAGAUGAUACCAGCAAACCCUGCCAAGAUCAGUUUUCCUCCUUUGGGAUUAUUUGAUGCAUCACUCUGAAAACUCAAGCAGAAAAGACACGAGAAAAAAUAUGGAAAUUAGAAGCUGGAGGGUACCAGGCUCUUCUGGUGUUCUACCAGUUCUUUGGUGAAUAACAAGAAACUCACUGAGCUUCUUGUGAGAUUUGCCACCUCUCAGGCUUUGUGCUCUUAAUCCAUUUGGUAGCCUUUAGGACACUGUUUCUCUUUUCAAAUGGAGAAUUAAUUUAUUUUUUUAACAAAACAAAAAUAUUAAAUUUCCACCACAAUUUUAAUGUACAGCUGCACAGAAAUAAGACCAAACCUCUGAGCCUCAUUAAUUUUUUUCCUCCCCAUUUUACUUGUUGAAAGCACAUGGAAGUGCAUUUUUAUUUCUCAGUUCAAAUGCUUUUUGCCAUCAGUUCAUGCACCAUGUCCAGGUGUUGUGCAGACCACAGGAUGAAAAAUAGUUCUUCAGAGAUCGUGCCAUGAGAGAGCAAAUGUGAUAAACAGAAGUGGGAAAGUUCCUGAAUGACCUCUAGUCAACCCUUUUGCUUUCCAGUAGGGUCAGGAAGAUCAAUGCUUUUGAAGACAUGAACUUGCCUGGUCUGUUUUUAAAAGCCUCCAGUGAUGGUGAUUUCACAUUCUCCCCAGGCACAGCAGAAAGAGCUCUGAGAGCUCAGCUACCUUGAAAAUUGAGGCUGAGCAAGGCAGAGUUUUCUUUCCAUCCAUGAAGACCUUGGAAAAGCAGAAAAGCAAGCAGGAAAAGCCCAGAGAGAGCCAUUAAUGACUCCUGUGGGAAGGCAGCAGCUGGCAGCCACCUCAGCCUCAGCAUGUGGAGAUGAAUUGCAGGUGCUUCCAUCCCAUAAGUCUAUGAAGUUUCCUUUCACUUUAAUAUUUAUGGGAAGCCACUCUAACAUAUCAAAGGUGUGCUCAUCUUUACUCCAUUACUCAUGAGAGAGAUAACUCAAUACGUCAAAGAUGCCCUGAUCAAGGGGCAAUUUCUCUUCUCCCCAUGCCAAAUGCAGACCAGGUGUAAAUGGAUGCAUCUCCAUGAAAAUUGUAUCUUUUCAUGCUGGCACUGAGCAGAGCCCUCUUGCUCAGUCUACUGGAACAUUUCCCAGAUCCAGUGUCAGCUCCUCAGCUCAAUCCAGUGCACAUCACAUGGCCCUUUUCUUUAAGCAGCCCUACAGAAAGAACAGACUGGAAUCGUGCUUUCAUGCCUUAGUACUUUGUUUAAGAGCAUGAAAUUGUCUCUUGGUGAGAAAGAUGGAGGCUUUCAAGCUGGCAAAGAAGAGACAUUUUUAAGCACUUUAACCCAGAGGGAUGUAAUAGCUGCUGAGGCUGGGAUUCAUCUCCCUUCCCUUCAGAAGUGGAGCAGGGAGAGGGCUGGGAUAAUCACCCCAAUCUCUCUUCAGGCUGGGGCUGUGGGUGCCUCCUGAGAGGAUUCCACUGACCCAGAUUAGAGCCUCUUCUGGAGAGGGAAAUUAGGCACCUUCCAGGGGAGCCUUCUGCUGCUGGCUGCAGAGGCAGCCUGGUGUGACCACAUCAGCCUCAGAGGCUGAACACCUAGAUGUUUAAAUUAAGGAAAUGAGUCUCCCUCUGCUUGGCAUACAGGAUUCCAGAAGUUUAAAUCCCUAUGCAUUGAGAGCAGUUUAUGAAAUUCGGCUUCAACCUUGAAUUAAGUUCUGAGAAAUAAAAAAUGGGGGGAAAUAUCCUUGUGAAGCCAUUUUAUUUCAACAUUUUAAAAAAUGGAGAAAUUCUGGGGUGCUCCCAGCCCCAAAAGUUGCUUUGGAAUUCCCAGGGAAAUUCCAUGCACAAGCCAGGCUUAGGGAAGGUAACCAGAAAAAACAACAAUCUUUGGAAAUAAAAUUGCAUAGGGCAUAGAAAACGAGCAAUGAAGCUUCAAAAAGUCUUUUUUAUUUUUCUUCCUUUUUUGCAUCUCAGAGAUCUCAGAAUUCGUCUGGCUUCAUCAUUAUCUGUCAUACUUAGGAAGGUUUAGUAUGGGUUUUCAUUGACCUUUAGGGUUUUGUUGUUGCUGUUGUUGUUUUGGGGUUUUUUUUAAUGUUUGGUUUUUUUUGUUUUUGUUUCCUUGACUUAUUACACUCCCCUCUUUCUGUACUCCUGCAUCUCCAAGUAAAUCCAAGAGAGCUUUAUUAUUUAUAGAGCAGCAUAAAUAUCUCUGGUGCUUUACACCCCAGUACAAAUGCAUUAUCUGCCCACAAAGUGUUCUCAGUUUCCAGAAGAUACCAAAGCCUGUAGCACAGGUGGAGGAAUGGGAACAUCACCAGGGCAUGGGGAUGGUGAGGUCACCACCACCAACCCUUCUGUGGGAGAGGAUGAUUGCCUUGUGGUGUCCCUGCCCAUGGCAGGGGUUUGGAAUGAGGUUGGCCUUAAGGUCUCUUCCAGCCCAAACCAUUCUGGGAUUCUGUGAUCUUCUCUAAAGGAAGGACUGUAGAUUUUAUAGCUUUCAGUAUGAAAAGCAAAGAAAGAAAGAGAAGCUGAGGACCAGUGAUCAUUUUAUCAUAGAAUUAUAAAAUUCUAGAAUGGUUUGGGUUUGAAGAAAGCUUAAAAUUUAUCUUUUUCCCAA
This is a long non-coding RNA of Passer domesticus (house sparrow), 3247 nucleotides long. RefSeq lists it as uncharacterized. The record is from RefSeq and is a predicted model, not a curated record. Lineage: Eukaryota; Metazoa; Chordata; Aves; Passeriformes; Passeridae. The transcript has 2 exons.